AUGGCGCCUGCGCUGGCGACCUUGCAGGUCGCUGCCCCACACCAUCUCAGUCUUCCUCGUCCUCGUGCCCGCGCCUCCCGAUCCGGCGCCUCCUUCCUCGCCCUGGAAGUCGCAAGGAACUCAGGCCGCCGCUGGCCCUCAUCCCCUUCCGCUGACGCCGUUCUGCCCAAGUUGGGAAUCGUCAAGUACCCGAAGACCACAUUGACACCAAGUAUUUGUACCGCCGUUUUCGGAAUCACCAAGACCGCGUGUACCACUACUUCCAUGACGUCCACUACCAUCGUCGUGGGAUUUGACAAGCUCAAUCCACUACCAUCGUCGUGGGAUUUGACAAGCUCAAUAACGACCCCUGAAGACCUUGGAUUCGUCAAGUUCCCCUCUGUCGCCAUGUACCACUACUUCCACUACCGUCGCUGA
RNAcentral lists this ribosomal RNA (417 nucleotides) under Triticum aestivum (bread wheat). Its description in RNAcentral is "partial small subunit ribosomal RNA". The record is from RNAcentral. Lineage: Eukaryota; Viridiplantae; Streptophyta; Magnoliopsida; Poales; Poaceae.